This 514-nucleotide long non-coding RNA is filed under the name Chrysolophus pictus (golden pheasant). Its description in RNAcentral is "lncRNA (ENSCPIG00010010803.1)". Lineage: Eukaryota; Metazoa; Chordata; Aves; Galliformes; Phasianidae. The record is from RNAcentral.
UAUAGGGUCCCCCCCCCAAUGUCCCUAUAGGGUCCCUCAAUGUCCCCCUCGCCCCCCCAGGCCGCCAUCCAGCGCAGCGUGGAGCAGCGGGAGCAGCGCAGGAGGGACAUCGCAGCGGGGACAACGGGGACAACAGUGGGGACAAAGGGGACAAAGGGGACAACAGUGGGGACAACGGGGACAAAGGGGACAAAAGGGACAAUGGGGACAACGGGGAUGCGGACUGCGCUCGAUCGCUUCAAGAAAUAGGGACAGGGUGGCCCCCGGGGGGGGACACAUUGCCAUGGACCUUGGGGACACUUCUAUGGGGUCCUUGGGGUCUUGGGACCAGCCCUGGUGGGGACAGGAUGCCACCGUGGCCCUUGGGGACACCUCUGUGGGGUCCUUGGGGUCUUGGGGCCAGCCCUGUAGGGGACAGGAUGCCACUGUGGCCCUUGGGGACACAUCUAUGGGGUCCUCGGGGUCUUGGGGACACCACUGUGGCCCUUGGGGACAUCUCUGUGGGGUCUUCAGG